CUCGCAGCCCGGACGGCUCAUCCGGCCGCCCGCCCGNNNNNNNNNNNNNNNNNNNNNNNNNNNNNNNNNNNNNNNNNNNNNNNNNNCGGACGCAGGCCCGCGGGUGCUGGUGGGGGGGCCCGGGCCUCUGGUCCCCGGUACAGGUGGCUCGCAGGGGAAUAAAGAAAAGAUUUCGGGUUGAUGAGCAGCAGAGCUGCCUCUCCACCACAGAGUAAAGAAGAUGUGCCUUUGUGAGCCUGGGCCGCCGUGGGAUCUGUGUCCCCUGCAGCAGUGAGCUCUGCUCCCCUGGACAGCCCGGCCGGCCUGGCCUGCCACCCACAGCGGUGCUGCCUCGGCAGUAUGGGCCGAACAGCCUCAGGAGCCUGGCUGCGUGCCCCCGCGCUGCUUCUGCAGCCGUGACACGUGUCAAGCGUUGAGGUGAAAUGAAGGGAUUUCUGUGAGCUUUUCCAAAGGACAAAAAUCGGUUAUGCAUAUGAAGUCACUGAAGUUAACAGAAGCACUCAUGUAUGGGUAUUGCAGCAUAAAUUAUCUUCAGCUGAAGAAACAAGAUGGUUGUGAAGAAAGAGGAAAGACAAUUCUCACUGCGUCAGAGAGGAAGGAUGCAUUGUCUUCCUGAAUUUGGAGGAAGAGAAUAAUAAUUAAAACCAUCCUCAUCACCAUCUCAGUCCUAUUCUGCCUCAUUUUCCUCCAGGUGGUUAAGCCCCAAGUGAUGGGCAGUUCUUUAAUACGCAGAGCUACCACAGAGUCUUCUUUUCUCAAAUGUGAAAGUGGCUUAGCAAAUAUCUAGCUUCUCUAAGGACAGCUGAUGGUGUAUAUUUGAGUGAAGGAUUUUUUUUAAAAAAAGAGUCCUCUGUUUAAUGGGUAAUUUCCCUUGAAAAUGGUAAACUGCAAAUGAAAUGGCAAAAAGCAAUUAAUUAUUGAAAUGAUAAUAUCCUUGUAAAGGUUAAGAGGUAAUAUAAAUGAAGUUCCUGUGAGCAUAUUAAUGGAAUUACUAUCUUCCCCCUCAUAAGUGGCAACUGUAACAACCUUGCUAAUGAGCUUUUUCAUCGGGAAAAGGAAUAUUGAAAUAUGAAGUUUCAUUACAGAAGCAAAAUCUAUGACUAGCUUAUUUUGCUAUGACAUAAUACAGAGAGAAACCUUUUACGUGCAUUUAAGAGCUCUUCCCAGAGCAUGCAGUUUUUGGUGGAAACGGGAAACAAUGCAUUUGAAUUACAUAGGAAGAACAACCUGUAAUUUAGAAGGGUAACACAGGCCAAAGCAAAAGAUUAAUGCGGACACCGAGACCAAGAUGCCCCUCUCAUCAGCUUGCUGCAGCUUCCCUGGGAGCACAGGGCAUGAUUCAACCCACUGAGGCUGAAGAGGUGACUAUCCCUCCCCACACAGUGCAGGGUAGGUAGCCUGGGCUCUACAGUCCAGUCUGGGUCUCAGGUACUCCCUAUGCAGUAUUUUUAAUAUGUGGAACUAUAGGUAUAUACAUGUAAUACAUAAAUGCAUACCAUGGAGGCAUAUGAAUG
This 1514-nucleotide long non-coding RNA is filed under the name Athene cunicularia (burrowing owl). RNAcentral describes it as "lncRNA (ENSACUG00000005623.1)". Lineage: Eukaryota; Metazoa; Chordata; Aves; Strigiformes; Strigidae. The record is from RNAcentral.